CUCAUAGCGUAUAUUAAGUUGUUGCAGUUAAAAAGCUCGUAGUUGAACUUCUGGCUAUUCUUCCAGCUGGCUUCGGUCGCUGUAAGAGUGGUCAUCCGCUUGGGAACUACGUUCGAACUUCACUGUUCGGCGUAAGGAACAGGCAUUUUACUUAGAAAAAAUUAGAGUGUUCAAGGCAGGCUAUCGCCCUGAAUACACAAGCUUGGAAUAAUGAAAUAGGACUACUUCCAUUUUAUUGGUUAUUGGAAUUAGUAAUGAUUAAUAGGGACAGUUGGGGACAUUAGUAUUUAAUUGUCAGAGGUGAAAUUCUUGGAUUUAUUAAAGACUAACUUAUGCGAAAGCAUUUGUCAAGGAUGUUUUCAUUAAUCAAGAACGAAAGUUAGGGGAUCAAAGACGAUCAGAUACCGUCCUAGUCUUAACUAUAAACUAUACCGACUAGGGAUUGGCCGGGUCUCUUUAACCGGGUCAGCACCUUAUGAGAAAUCAAAGUCUAUGGGUUCUGGGGGGAGUAUGGUCGCAAGGCUGAAACUUAAAGGAAUUGACGGAAGGGCACCACCAGGAGUGGAGCCUGCGGCUUAAUUUGACUCAACACGGGGAAACUUACCAGGUCAAGACAUAAGUGGGAUUGACAGAUUGAGAGCUCUUUCUUGAUUCUAUGGGUG
This 662-nucleotide ribosomal RNA is filed under the name uncultured eukaryote. RNAcentral describes it as "SSU rRNA". It matches the Rfam family "Eukaryotic small subunit ribosomal RNA", at positions 591 to 1276 of the family's 1831-position model. The record is from RNAcentral.